Long non-coding RNA from Meleagris gallopavo (turkey), 5981 nucleotides. RefSeq lists it as uncharacterized. The record is from RefSeq and is a predicted model, not a curated record. Lineage: Eukaryota; Metazoa; Chordata; Aves; Galliformes; Phasianidae.
AGCCCAGCCUGAAGGAAGAGAGAGCAGCUGCUGCCUGCUGGGGCUGCACUGGAAUGUGCAGCGUGCGCCUGUGCACUUGGGGGGCUGUGCAGGGGCUGUGGUGGCUGAGGCUGUGGGCACAGGACUUGGGGCUGUGGUCCCCCCUUGUCACCACGUCCCCAAGUGUUUUGGGAACGGCAGCGAGCGCAGCUGGUGUCUCGUCAGAGCCUGGCUCCAGCUGGGGCAGGGGCUGCUCGAGGUGUGUGGGGGAGGUGGGCAGCUUUGCUGCUGGGCUCAGCUAAAUGUGCGCCAUCUCCCCGGGAGCUGCGCUACGCCGGCUCUAUUUCGGGCACUUUGCGGAACAGCUGGUGAUCAUCUCUUACACGGUGUGGCGACGGCUGUGCGCAGCUAUUUCUGCCAGCUCAUCCCCACACAGCAGCUUUUUAUAAACGCAUUCACCCGGAGGGAUGGACGCAGCUGUUGGGGAGGGGGGAAUUUGGUGCUGAUGUUUUGGAGAUCGUCAGCUCUGCCCUGAGGGCUGCUCCUGUGCUGGCAGGACCCAGCUCUGAGCCUCUAUGGGAAGGGAAAACCCCGACCAGCUGCAGCUUGAGGGAUCUGCCUCAGGUUUAAUUUUAGAAACUCAGUUUCUCCUGAGCUCUCUGCUGAGAAGUCGUGGCAGCGCUUUCUGGAUGGUGUUUCACUCCUAAACCUGUGUGGGUCCUGCGGGGUAACGGUGUGUGGGGUGACACAAGCAGAACGCCAGCAUCCCUGGGGAUGGGGGACAGGCAUUGGGCAGGGGGCUGAUGGGUGGCAGCGGACAGGAGCAUGGCUUGGUCACCUUGCAUAGCUUGUCCCUGGUGCAGAGCCCUCUGGAGCACGGGCCGUCCCCACCCUGCACACAGUGCUGUCUGUCUGCCCGCAUUGUCCUGCUGUUGCUGUGAUCAGCCUUAGAGCACAGAGUGUGAGCCCACCCCUCAGCCUGGCUCCUCCGUCCCUUUCCCAGGCACUCCUGUGCUCCCCUCCUGCUCUGCCCCAUUGCUGUGUGUGACUGCGGUGAUGUUCCCUUUGGGCUCUGUGCUGCUGGAUGGAGCAGAGCCACAGAGGUUAAAUGCAGCUCUUGGUCAACUGCUGGUUUUGUUUUUUGUCUUAAAAUCAUACAAGCGGGGGCAUCACUGCAGUAUUUGUCACCAAACAUCGGGGUCAGUGCUGUGCAGCAGCUGAAGAUGAGCAGUGGCACUGGGGCAGCCCCGCACUGUGUGCCAGCACUGGGCUGUGCAGAACGAGCGUCAGUUGGAGAGCAGCAGGAGCUCUGCGGGAAUGCAACAAUGCAGCAACUUAUGCACUCAGCUGAGGCAGCGCAGCAGGAGUGGUUGUGUUAAAAUCUACAGGAUGAGCCUAGCGCUGAAAAUGCAUCCUGUGAGAUCCUUACCUUUUCCUUUGCUUGCCCACUUACCGAGGAUCAGCCCGGAGCUGAUGCCGGGGCAGGUGUGGGGUGUCAGCACUGCAUCCCUGCUGUGUUACACGCAGGGCGGUGUGCGCCCUCUGUGCGGCUGUGCCACGGCACGGCUCUGGGUGAGCAGAGGUGUGAGGUGGAGGAGGGAGAUGAUUGGAGUUUGCAUUACACAGCAUGCUUGUCGGAAGAGAAUUGAUCUGUAUUUAACAACAGCGGUGCAGUAAUAACCUACAAUUACCUCUGAGCGGUGCGGCGGGGGCGGCUCUGCUGCUGGAGGAGGCUGGCAUGGCAUGGAGUGGCAUGGCAUAGCAUGGCACGGCUCUCACGAUACACAGAGCAUGGCACAGGGUCUGCUGGGCUGUGGGAGCGAUUCCUGUCUGCCUGGAGCUGGGAAGCCCCAUGCCGUGGCCGUGCCCUCCCCGGGGCAGAGCAGAGGAUCGCUCCCCUGCUGUCCUGGCCACACGCUGUGCGAUGCACUGCAGGGUCUGUUUGGCCUUCUUGGCCACCAGGGUAUCCGAAUGUCUGCCCGUUGGCCACCGGCACCCCAGGCGCUUCUCUGCAGAGCUCUUUUCCAGCAGCUCAGCCCUAUACCUGUGCUCAGAGCCGUUCCCACGGCUGCUGUGCAGGGGAUGAGUGUGGUUAUCCAUCCCUCCUCCCUCUGCGCAGUGCUGGGAAAACGCUGCAACGCCUCUUUGGCGAGAAAGCAAAUUAUGCAGGCUGACUUUGUUCUGAAAGCUUCUGAUGUGUAAGCAGGGGAGGAAGGCGAGGUCAUCUGUGUGCUUCCACUGCUGGCUGUGCUCCAGCCGCGCGAGGGGAGGGAGGGUGCUUUUGUCUGCUCGGUGCGGGGUGCCCUGAGGCUGGGGUGGUGCACGGCCGCGGGCACGGCUCUGUUUGGGCAGGCAGCACCUUCUGCAGGAGGGGCUCUGCCGAUGCCUGACUUCACCUCUGCUCACCCCUUCUCCCUGGCUGAUGGCAGAAGGGAGCGCGGCGCACCAUCUCCAUCAGAGCCGGUGGGACAGGACGUGGUGCGGGACGGCGUGUGCCCCCCAGCCAGCCCCAGCACGGGGCACGUGGCUGCAGCUGCUAUUCUGCAGCUGUCUGAAGGGCUGCGGGACUUUUAAUAUCUCUGCUGAGUGAAAUUUCCUGAUUCGGCUUUCAUGUCCCCUGGGACGCUUAUGAAAUAUCCGGAUUCUGUUUUUUUUUCUGAAGAAGUGGAAUUUCCUAUUUAUGGAUUUAAUAAAAGGGCUACGUGCUCGCGGAGGGCAGGGGCUCCGCGGUGCUCUCCCCGCUGCGGCUUUGCCCCGUCGCUUCUCCCCCUGGCUCAGCUGGCAGCAGGGCUGUGGGGAAUUCGGCUGCCUCAGUAGUUUUCCAGCCCGCACUAAGCUCCCUUUUCACAGCUAAUCACGCUUCGCCAUGAGCGAAGUCGAAAUGCACGCCGCCAAUCCGCUGGCAGGCGGAUGGGCACAGAGUGGGUGAUCCUGCAGCGCUCGCCCGGCAGCCCUCGAGCAGCAGCGCUCACCCACCCGCUGGGAGCUCUGCCGAUGGAUGCCAGCAGUGCGCUGGGUCUGGUCCUGUCUGGAACCUCAUCUGCCCUCGGCGUGCCUUUGUGCAGAGUGUUUGGAUCGUGAGAGAGGGCUAAGGGACGAGAGCAGUGGGAAAUGGCUCCAGGAGGGUAGGAGAGGCUGGAGCUGUGUAGUGGGAUCCCCGGUGGCUCGGAGCAGCAGGGUGUGAGACGAGUGGCUGAGCGUUCAGUCCCAUCUGAUGCGAGGCUGGUGCACAGAACCAGGAGCUACGGACAGGACUGGCCCUGAUGGCACAGAACCAGGCUGCGGUGCCGCUGGCUGCAGGCAGGAAUGGGUUCCAACCCUGGGUGCUGGGAAGGAGCUGCAGCACCCAGCGCAGCGUGCUAGCAUAGCCCUGCCUUGCAGCAGGUCUGCGUGGUGCUGGAGCCCCUCUGGCCCCAGGGAGGGCUGAAUGCUACUGGCUGCUGUGUCACAGCCCGCUCCUUUCGCCAGCCACCCCAGCGUGGCUGUGGGCACUGAGCAAGCAGCCCUGGUUGCCAAACGCUUUGCUUUCCUAGCCAGCUGGUUUUGUCCUCAUGACUCAUGGCAAUAUUUGCCUUUCUGUUACCAGCAUUUCUUUCAUCAGCUGCAGCCAGAGCCGUGCUGCCACCACUCUCCUUUAAAAUCAUGGGAACAGUUGAAAUAAAAUACUUUUAAUGCAAACAAUGUCAAACACAAACACAGGCGUUCCACACUUAUGCAACUCUUACUUUUGUAAUGCUCUUUAUCGUGAUCCCAAAGAACCUCAACAGCAAGUGAACAUCACCAAAGCACAAGCGAGCUGCAACCUGCUAAAUCAGCACUGCCUGCUUCUUCUCAUGAAAAGUCAUUUAGCAAAUGCCUAAAAAAACCCCCAUGUUCUCCUGCAGGACACCUGUCGCAGAAGCAGAAAGAGGAAAAGCCCGGAGCGAUGUAACCUGCUGUGUUCUGUGAAACCCAGCAUCUCCAGCUGCAGAGUGGGCUGUGCUGCGGGUCCUGCCUGCAGCCGACCUCUGCAGAGCGCUGCACGUCCAGGCACAGCCGGGUGCUCGCACCACCCGCACACCCUUAUCAGUUCUCCGUCCAACAGUCAGAGCGAAGAAGCUGGGCUGGAAAAGUGAUAAGGGGGUGAGAGCAGCCACAAGGUCGCCUUCUCCUGGACUCUGGCACGGAGAAAAAAGGCGAAGCUGGUAGCAAGUGGAGUAAGUAAGGUGUCACCGGUUCCUCUCUGCGGCCCUCGGCACGGUGCGGGGAUGCUGCUGGAGGAGCGGGCGAUGCUGUUGGGGCAGUCCCAGCCUCCCGCUGCCCUGCAGUGCUCUGCCGUGCUGCAGACACUCCCCAUUCACAAAUUUCAUAACCUCCAGUCCCCUCCCUGCGGGUGGGAUUGGACGCCCCGUGGCCCCCCCGGCCCGCUGGAUUAGGCUGUACAAAUUGUGGGGCUGCAGCCGGGCGGAUUCGUCUGACGCUGCAGAAAGGUGCUGGCAGCUGCAUCUGUGCGCCCCAAUGCCGCCGGCCCCGAAGUGGGGCUGGGGUGUCCCCUCCUGCAAAGAGCGAGGGGUUGUGGUGGUGCCCAGGGGAUGUCCUUCCCUGAGCCAUUACUCCAUUGUCUGCACUGAGUCCUGCUCCGUGGGGCCGGGCCCCAUGGCAGCUCCCCUCGUAUCCCUGUGCCCGCUGCCCCCAGAGAGUGGCUCAAGUGUACCCAGGCACCCCCAGAGUGCAAGCAGACCCCUGUGACCUGGGCUGGGAAGGUGCACACUAGAGGGGGGAAGCGGGUGGCUCCCAACACCUCGUAUAACCCCGCUGAGCAGAGCCUGGAGCCGAGGAAUGUGAUCCCCCUUCUGCAGCCCGGGCGUGUGCUGGCUUGGUGCUGCACUGUCGGGUUGAUGUGCACAGGAAUUACAGAGGAGCUCUCCUGCGUGCACCUAUAGGGAGUGCUCGGCUGAUGCUGAAGGCCCUCUCACAGCAGCCAAGUGAACCCCAACAGUUUCUCAGGGCUCCGGGGCUCAGUUCCAUAACGGUGCUCUCUGCUCAAGGACUCAGUGCUUCAGGAAUGGCCUCUGCUCUGCAGGGUGCAGAGCUGUGUGCCCAGAUGUGGUUCUGCUGUCAUCUCCAGUUUUAACCUGGGGGAGGGGUAGAGGUUGGUUAGCAGUGCUGGGUGUGCAUUUGCUAUCGGGCACUUCUCCCCAUCAUCAUGAAGCACCACGGCCUCUGCUCGUGCUGCUGGAUGCGCUUUCUGGCUGCUUGUCCCCUCUGUUGGCCCAGUGCAAAUCUGCUGCCCUUGGCUCCACAGGUGUCACUGGACCCACUGCAUUACUGGGGGGAGUAGGAGAUGGCACUUCAGGUGCAAACAGCCUACUUUCCAAGGUUCACAACUUUUGUCCAGUUCCUCUGUUGGAGUGCACUGAGCUGUGUGGGCUCUGAUGAGCUCUUGCGGCACAGCUGCCUGCAGCCCCACGCGCUUCAGGACAGCACACUUGGGUCAGCCAUGUCUUUCCUCCUCGUGUCUUCACCCAGGCUUGUUCCCACCCGGCUGCAGGUCAGGUACCAGCCCUGACAAACUGCACCAGCCCUGAGGCAGUCAGUGCUGCGCCUUGCGGCUUCCCAUUCUCCGCACUUUGCAGGAUGGCAUCGAGGGCAGCCAGACCUGCUGUGCUGUGCCAUGCCAUGCCGUGCUGUUCCAUGCCGUGCCACACCGUGCUCCGUCCUUCCCCAGCUCCCUCCCAGGAAUGCCAUCUGCUGAGCGCCCGGUGCCACGUUAAGCCCUGUUCCAUCUGCAGCUUUGCCCCAGGCUGCCGGUGUCCGUCGCAGCAGCGCCCGCCUCAGUAAGCACAGCACAUCCCGCUGACUCAGGAGCCUGCACGGCUUUAUAACCUCCCUCUGCAUUUGGAGCGUGGGUCAGGAAUGUUCCACGGAGCGGAGAUGCCGAGGGGCCGUCAGGGCGCGGUGCUGCGCGGCGGUGCUGGGGCAGCCCCAGGGACCUUGGCUGGUGCUGCCGUCCGGCGCCGUGC